UUUUAAAAUGAGAGUUUGAUCCUGGCUCAGGACGAACGCUGGCGGCGUGCCUAAUACAUGCAAGUCGAGCGAG
This 73-nucleotide ribosomal RNA is filed under the name Lactobacillus crispatus. Its description in RNAcentral is "partial 16S ribosomal RNA". It matches the Rfam family "Bacterial small subunit ribosomal RNA", at positions 1 to 70 of the family's 1533-position model. Lineage: Bacteria; Bacillati; Bacillota; Bacilli; Lactobacillales; Lactobacillaceae. The record is from RNAcentral.